This is a long non-coding RNA of Drosophila pseudoobscura, 464 nucleotides long. RefSeq lists it as uncharacterized. The record is from RefSeq and is a predicted model, not a curated record. The transcript has 3 exons. NCBI's taxonomy places the organism in Eukaryota, Metazoa, Arthropoda, Insecta, Diptera, Drosophilidae.
AUACCCACGAUUGCAAUGUCAUUAUAGGACUCUAUACAUUCGUCAAUCUACAAAAACAUUGCCUUUUGGAAACCCCUCUAAAUUUUUGAACCAAAAAUAUGGCUAAAUUUCAUAAAUUGGUUUCAUUGGUGCGCGAUGUGGGUUCCUUCUUGAGGCGCUUAAAUUUGAGCAUUGCUCGGCUGAUUUUCCUGGAGCUUCCCACGGCCACAAAGCAGUUUCGAAUGUGAUUCACGAAUCAUGAAUGAAGACCCCACCAUAGACCCAACGAAUGAACAGCAGGAUCUCCACUUACCAGAAGACUUUGGCAGACACAACUAAUAUGAUACCAAAAUAAAGGAAUUUUCUCAUCAAAUUAGUUUUGAGGAGUUGUUUUUUCUUAAUGCCUAAAUCUAAAGCCAUUGAUUCUAGAGUGAUAAUGGAAUAAGAUUCGCUGCAAAGGACAUUCAAAGAUGCAGCAGAGGCGA